GACGAACGCUGGCGGCGUGCCUAAUACAUGCAAGUUGAGCGAUGAAGCUUGGUGCUUGCACCAAUUUGAAGAGCAGCGAACGGGUGAGUAACGCGUGGGGAAUCUGCCUUUUAGCGGGGGACAACAUUUGGAAACGAAUGCUAAUACCGCAUAACACCUUUAAACAUAAGAUUUAAGUUUGAAAGAUGCAAUUGCAUCACUCAAAGAUGAUCCCGCGUUGUAUUAGCUAGUUGGUGAGGUAAAGGCUCACCAAGCCGAUGAUACAUAGCCGACCUGAGAGGGUGAUCGGCCACAUUGGGACUGAGACACGGCCCAAACUCCUACGGGAGGCAGCAGUAGGGAAUAUUCGGCAAUGGACGAAAGUCUGACCGAGCAACGCAGCGUGAGUGAAGAAGGUUUUCGGAUCGUAAAACUCUGUUGGGAGAGAAGAACGUUGGUGAGAGUGGAAAGCUCAUCAAGUGACGGUAACUACCCAGAAAGGGACGGCUAACUACGUG
This 497-nucleotide ribosomal RNA is filed under the name uncultured bacterium. Its description in RNAcentral is "partial 16S ribosomal RNA". It matches the Rfam family "Bacterial small subunit ribosomal RNA", at positions 28 to 507 of the family's 1533-position model. The record is from RNAcentral.